RNAcentral lists this ribosomal RNA (506 nucleotides) under uncultured bacterium. Its description in RNAcentral is "partial 16S ribosomal RNA". It matches the Rfam family "Bacterial small subunit ribosomal RNA", at positions 30 to 523 of the family's 1533-position model. The record is from RNAcentral.
AUUGAACGCUGGCGGCAGGCCUAACACAUGCAAGUCGAACGGCAGCACAGAAGAGCUUGCUCUUUGGGUGGCGAGUGGCGGACGGGUGAGUAAUGUCUGGGAAACCGCCCGAUGGAGGGGGAUAACUACUGGAAACGGUAGCUAAUACCGCAUAACGUCGCAAGACCAAAGUGGGGGACCUUCGGGCCUCACACCAUCGGAUGUGCCCAGAUGGGAUUAGCUAGUAGGUGGGGUAAUGGCUCACCUAGGCGACGAUCCCUAGCUGGUCUGAGAGGAUGACCAGCCACGCUGGAACUGAGACACGGUCCAGACUCCUACGGGAGGCAGCAGUGGGGAAUAUUGCACAAUGGGCGCAAGCCUGAUGCAGCCAUGCCGCGUGUAUGAAGAAGGCCUUCGGGUUGUAAAGUACUUUCAGCGGGGAGGAAGGCGGUGAGGUUAAUAACCUUGCCGAUUGACGUUACCCGCAGAAGAAGCACCGGCUAACUCCGUGCCAGCAGCCGCCGUAA